AUUCGUCCAAUUGAAGCAGAGGACAGUGGCGGACGGGUGAGUAACGCGUGAGGAACCUGCCUUUCAGAGGGGGACAACAGUUGGAAACGACUGCUAAUACCGCAUGAAGCGUGAGGGCCGCAUGGCCUUUACGCCAAAGAUUUAUCGCUUCAAGAUGGCCUCGCGUCUGAUUAGCUGGUUGGCGGGGUAACGGCCCACCAAGGCGACGAUCAGUAGCCGGACUGAGAGGUUGACCGGCCACAUUGGGACUGAGAUACGGCCCAGACUCC
RNAcentral lists this ribosomal RNA (269 nucleotides) under uncultured Oscillibacter sp. RNAcentral describes it as "partial 16S ribosomal RNA". It matches the Rfam family "Bacterial small subunit ribosomal RNA", at positions 73 to 339 of the family's 1533-position model. The record is from RNAcentral. Lineage: Bacteria; Bacillati; Bacillota; Clostridia; Eubacteriales; Oscillospiraceae.